Long non-coding RNA from Mustela erminea (ermine), 1659 nucleotides. RefSeq lists it as uncharacterized. The record is from RefSeq and is a predicted model, not a curated record. NCBI's taxonomy places the organism in Eukaryota, Metazoa, Chordata, Mammalia, Carnivora, Mustelidae. The transcript has 3 exons.
UUUUCUGUGUAUUAUAAGCUCUCAGUCAAGACUCAUUACCCUAAAAGAAUGUAAUUUAGUAGAGCUUCUCUUUUUUUAAAUUUCUUUUUAUUGUUGCCAUUUUCCCCCAUAAUGCGUAAAACCAUAGAGUUAUUUUUUGACCAUCCAAUGAUAGUCAUUUAUUCAUCCGGUAAAAAUGUUUUGGGCACCUAUCAUGUGCCAGGCCCUGCACUAAGGGAAACAGCUACCAACAAAACUGACCUCGGCCUUGUGAAGUGUGGAUUUUAGCCGAGAGACGGCGCGUCCACACAGAAAGGCAGUGAACGAGAGCAAAGGGACUAGAUCCUGACGGAGAGGUUGAUUCACGCAGGGUGCCAGGAAGGGGCUCUCUGAUCUGGUGACACUGGAGCAGAGUCGUGAAUGGGGUACAGGCUGGGCCUGGUGAAUAUCCGAGCAGGGAAAGUGUGGACGAAGCUGUGAGGCAGGAGCAGGAGGCAGACGGAUGAGUGAGGCUGGAGCCGAGCGCAUGGAGGGACCAGUGCUAGGGAAUGCGAUCCGGAAGGUGGUGGGGGUUCCAGAUCACAUGGGGACUUGAAGGCCCUGGGCAGGAUGUUAAAUUUUAUCCUAAGGAAGAUAAGCAGCAUUUAGAAGGGUUUCGAGGAGAGCAGUGCUGUGGCCUGAUUAAUAUUUCAGAAGGCUUUCUCUGGCUCUACGUGGAAAACAGACUCUGGCAGCGGGAUGGGGGGCAAGAGCGGCAGCAAGGAGCCUGGUUAGCACCCUUGCAAGGAUCCGGGCAGGAGAUGCUGGUAGUGUAGGCUGGAGGAGGAGGUGGGGGAGGAGGUGAUGGUAGUGGUAGUGGUGGUGGCAUCCACCACAUGAUAGUAGUAAUAGUAGUAAUAGUAGUAAAAGUAGGAGUAACUUGUUGUAAGAAGAGCUUCUGCGGAGAUCUUGAAGGUAUUGCCGGCAGGUUGUACUGAUGAAGUGGAUGGGGCAUGUGAGAGAAAAAGAGGCGGCAUGGACACCUCCGAGGGUUGUGGUGUGAGUCACUGAUAGAGCAGAACUUAGGUUUUAUGAGAUAGGAAAGGCUGGGGAGGAGGAGCAGGUGUGGUGGGCAGCACGUGUCAGUAAUUUCAUCGUAGACAUACUCACUUUGAGACGAUUGGCUAAAUCUAGAGUUCAGGGAGAAGUCAGAGUGGGAGGCAUAAUCUGGGCAUCCUUAAGUUAGACAUGGUAGUUAAAGCUAUGGGGUUGAGUGUGCCCCCUGUGGGAACAAAGGCUGUCAGAAGAGGAAGGUACAAAGACUGAGCCUUGGUUCCUUCCAGUGUUCAGAUUAGGAGGAUAAAGGUCCAGCAAGAGGAGGCUGGGACAGAGAAGAAAGAAGUUGUGUCCAGAAGACAAGUGAAGAAGGAGUUUUGAGGGGGUGUGACCAACCAUGUCUAACAGUGCUCAGUUAUCAAGUGAGAAGAGCCUGGGGAAAGACUCCUGCCUUUGUAACACAUUGGUCCUUGGCCCACUUGACAAGUGCAGUUUUGGUGGAUGGCGGUCUGGCUCAAGAGAAGACAGAAGUUUGGAAGAGAAAUGGACUGGAGGAUGAUCUGGGGCAAAGGAGGGUUUUUUUCAUCAUAUAUGUGUUUGUUAGACCUGGGUGUUGAUCGGGACGCCUGGGUGGCUCAGUUGGUU